GACGAACGCUGGCGGCAUGCUUAACACAUGCAAGUCGAACGGAAAGGCCCUGCUUUCGUGGGGUGCUCGAGUGGCGAACGGGUGAGUAACACGUGAGUAACCUGCUCUUGUUUUUGGGAUAACUUCAGGAAACUGGGGCUAAUACCGGAUAGGAGCUCCUGCUGCAUGGUGGGGGUUGGAAAGUUUCGGCGGUUGGGGAUGGACUCGCGGCUUAUCAGUUUGUUGGUUGGGUAGUGGCUUACCAAGGCUUUGACGGGUAGCCGGCAGGUGAGGGUGGACGGCCACAUUAGGACUGAGAUACGGCCCAGAGUCGUACGGGGGACAGCAGUGGGGAAUAUUGCACAAUGGGCGGAAGCGGGAUGCAGCAACGCCGCGUGCGGGAUGACGGCCUUCGGGUUGUAAACCGCUUUCGCCUGUGACGAAGCGUGAGUGACGGUAAUGAGUAAAGAAGCACCGGCUAACUACGUG
Molecule: ribosomal RNA, 468 nt
Filed under: uncultured bacterium
Lineage: Bacteria
Description: partial 16S ribosomal RNA
Rfam family: Bacterial small subunit ribosomal RNA
Source: RNAcentral